CUACGGAACUCCUACGGGAGGCAGCAGUGGGGAAUAUUGGACAAUGGGCGAAAGCCUGAUCCAGCAAUGCCGCGUGAGUGAUGAAGGCCUUAGGGUUGUAAAGCUCUUUUACCCGGGAAGAUAAUGACUGUACCUGGAGAAUAAGCUCCGGCUAACUCCGUGCCAGCAGCCACGGUAAUACGGAGGGAGCUAGCGUUGUUCGGAAUUACUGGGCGUAAAGCGCACGUAGGCGGCUUUGUGAGUUAGAGGUGAAAGCCUGGGGCUCAACCCCAGAAUUGCCUUUAAGACUGCAUCGCUUGAAUCAUGGAGAGGCGGGUGGAAUUCCGAGUGUAGAGGUGAAAUUCGUAGAUAUUCGGAAGAACACCAGUGGCGAAGGCGGCCCGCUGGACAUGUAUUGACGCUGAGGUGCGAAAGCGUGGGGAGCAAACAGGAUUAGAUACCCGGGUAGUCCUCUUCGA
This 458-nucleotide ribosomal RNA is filed under the name uncultured bacterium. RNAcentral describes it as "bacterial SSU rRNA". It matches the Rfam family "Bacterial small subunit ribosomal RNA", at positions 328 to 803 of the family's 1533-position model. The record is from RNAcentral.